ACGGAAGGCAGCAGUGGGGAAUAUUGGGCAAUGGGCGAAAGCCUGACCCAGCAACGCCGCGUGAAGGAAGAAGGUCUUCGGAUUGUAAACUUCUUUUAUGAGGGACGAAGGACGUGACGGUACCUCAUGAAUAAGCCACGGCUAACUACGUGCCAGCAGCCGCGGUAAUACGUAGGUGGCAAGCGUUAUCCGGAUUUACUGGGUGUAAAGGGCGCGUAGGCGGGAAGGCACGUCAGAUGUGAAAUCCGUGGGCUCAACCCAUGAACUGCAUUUGAAACUGUUUUUCUUGAGUGCUGGAGAGGUAGACGGAAUUCCUUGUGUAGCGGUGAAAUGCGUAGAUAUAAGGAAGAACACCAGUGGCGAAGGCGGUCUACUGGACAGUAACUGACGCUGAGGCGCGAAAGCGUGGGGAGCAAACAGGAUUAGAUACCCUGGUA
This 437-nucleotide ribosomal RNA is filed under the name uncultured Oscillospiraceae bacterium. RNAcentral's name for it is "partial 16S ribosomal RNA". It matches the Rfam family "Bacterial small subunit ribosomal RNA", at positions 341 to 792 of the family's 1533-position model. Lineage: Bacteria; Bacillati; Bacillota; Clostridia; Eubacteriales; Oscillospiraceae. The record is from RNAcentral.